CGCGUAGGCGGGAAUGCAAGUCAGAUGUGAAAUCUGGGGGCUCAACCCCCAAACUGCAUUUGAAACUGUAUUUCUUGAGUGAUGGAGAGGCAAGUGGAAUUCCUAGUGUAGCGGUGAAAUGCGUAGAUAUUAGGAGGAACACCAGUGGCGAAGGCGACUUGCUGGACAUUAACUGACGCUGAGGCGCGAAAGCGUGGGGAGCAAACAG
This 208-nucleotide ribosomal RNA is filed under the name uncultured Eubacteriales bacterium. Its description in RNAcentral is "uncultured Clostridiales bacterium partial 16S ribosomal RNA". It matches the Rfam family "Bacterial small subunit ribosomal RNA", at positions 568 to 775 of the family's 1533-position model. Lineage: Bacteria; Bacillati; Bacillota; Clostridia; Eubacteriales. The record is from RNAcentral.